AAACAAAUAAUAUUUUGAGAAAAUUAAUGGGAAAAUAUCUUGUAAUGAAAUCCCUAUUACACAUUUCUCAUUCAUGAAAAACCUUUUACACACUUACUCUUUUAAAAGUGUGUCUAAAACGAGAAGUUUUAUUUUGUGUCUCAUACAACUAAUAUUGAGGCUCUUUUUUGUCUCAUGGACCACAAUCUUACACUUUUGGGUCUGCAGAAAUUUGGGUACACAAAUUUGUGAGACAAAAAGAAGCCUCAUACAACUAUUGUCAAUUGUAUGAGAUACAAAAUAAAAUUUCCUUCUAAGAUAUACCACUUUUGUAUUUGACCAAUUUUUGAGAUAACGUGAAAGCCACGCCCUAAUAGGAUCG
RNAcentral lists this long non-coding RNA (361 nucleotides) under Nicotiana benthamiana. RNAcentral describes it as "long non-coding RNA (NBEN_LNC003360)". The record is from RNAcentral. Lineage: Eukaryota; Viridiplantae; Streptophyta; Magnoliopsida; Solanales; Solanaceae.